AGUAACACGUGGAUAACCUACCUAUAAGACUGGGAUAACUUCGGGAAACCGGAGCUAAUACCGGAUAAUAUAUUGAACCGCAUGGUUCAAUAGUGAAAGACGGUUUUGCUGUCACUUAUAGAUGGAUCCGCGCCGCAUUAGCUAGUUGGUAAGGUAACGGCUUACCAAGGCAGCGAUGCGUAGCCGACCUGAGAGGGUGAUCGGCCACACUAGAACUGAGACACGGUCCAGACUCCUACGGGAGGCAGCAGAU
This 253-nucleotide ribosomal RNA is filed under the name uncultured Staphylococcus sp. RNAcentral's name for it is "partial 16S ribosomal RNA". It matches the Rfam family "Bacterial small subunit ribosomal RNA", at positions 109 to 354 of the family's 1533-position model. Lineage: Bacteria; Bacillati; Bacillota; Bacilli; Caryophanales; Staphylococcaceae. The record is from RNAcentral.